This 29-nucleotide non-coding RNA is filed under the name Homo sapiens (human). The record is from RNAcentral. Lineage: Eukaryota; Metazoa; Chordata; Mammalia; Primates; Hominidae.
GGGGAANUCAGUGUACCCUUUACUCUUGC